GACGAACGCUGGCGGCAUGCUUAAUACAUGCAAGUCGAACGAACAGAUUAAUUGCUGGCACUUUAGACGAGAGCGGAGAAGGGGAGAGUAACACGUAAGGAAUGCACUGAAAAGCGGGGGAAGACAGUGGGAAAGGGGUGAAAAUAGGGCAGAAUGACGUUUUGGGUGUGGAAGUGGAUAGAAAGACGGCGUGGGUUUCGCUUAUGGAUUACCUUGUGGUGGGUUGGGUAGUUGGUGGGGUAACGGCCUACGCGGACGAGGAUGCAGAGCCGACCGGGGAGGGUGAUCGGCCGCAUUGGGACUGAGACACGGCCCAAACUCCUACGGGAGGCAGCAGUAGGGAAUCUUCCGCAAUGGGCGAAAGCCUUACGGAACAAUGCCGCGUGAGUGAAGACGGCCUCCGGGUCGUAAAACUCUGUUAUAAGAGAAGAACAACUUGUAGAGUAAAUGCUACAGUCUUGACGGUAUCUUAUCAGAAAGUCACGGCUAACUACGUG
RNAcentral lists this ribosomal RNA (497 nucleotides) under uncultured bacterium. RNAcentral's name for it is "partial 16S ribosomal RNA". It matches the Rfam family "Bacterial small subunit ribosomal RNA", at positions 28 to 507 of the family's 1533-position model. The record is from RNAcentral.